Molecule: transfer RNA, 70 nt
Filed under: Schizocardium brasiliense
Lineage: Eukaryota; Metazoa; Hemichordata; Enteropneusta; Spengelidae
Description: tRNA-His
Rfam family: tRNA
About the family: Transfer RNA (tRNA) molecules are approximately 80 nucleotides in length. Their secondary structure includes four short double-helical elements and three loops (D, anti-codon, and T loops).
Source: RNAcentral
GGACAGCGUAGGCUAAUCAAACCAUUAGUCUGUGGCACUAAAACUGGCGGUUAAACCCCGCCCGCUGCCC